Molecule: ribosomal RNA, 790 nt
Filed under: uncultured archaeon
Lineage: Archaea
Description: bacterial SSU rRNA
Rfam family: Archaeal small subunit ribosomal RNA
Source: RNAcentral
ACGGCUCAGUAACACGUGGACAACCUGCCCUUAGGUUGGGUAUAAACCCGGGAAACUGGGUAUAAUACCCGAUAGGUCUCGAUUGCUGGAAUGCAUCGAGAUUUAAAGCUCCGGCGCCUAAGGAUGGGUCUGCGGCCUAUCAGGUAGUAGUGGGUGUAGCGUACCUACUAGCCUACGACGGGUACGGGUUGUGAGAGCAAGAGCCCGGAGAUGGAUUCUGAGACACGAAUCCAGGCCCUACGGGGUGCAGCAGGCGCGAAAACUUUACAAUGCUGGCAACAGCGAUAAGGGAACCUCGAGUGCCAGGUUACAAAUCUGGCUGUCGAGAUGCCUAAAAAGCAUUUCAUAGCAAGGGCCGGGCAAGACCGGUGCCAGCCGCCGCGGUAACACCGGCGGCUCGAGUGGUAACCGUUAUUAUUGGGUCUAAAGGGUCUGUAGCCGGCCGGAUAAGUCUCUUGAGAAAUCUGGCAGCUUAACUGUCAGGCUUUCAGGAGAUACUGUCUGGCUCGAGGCCGGGAGAGGUGAGAGGUACUUCAGGGGUAGGGGUGAAAUCUUGUAAUCCUUGAAGGACCACCAGUGGCGAAGGCGUCUCACCAGAACGGACCUGACGGCAAGGGACGAAAGCUAGGGGCACGAACCGGAUUAGAUACCCGGGUAGUCCUAGCCGUAAACGAUACUCGCUAGGUGUCGGCCACGGUGCGACCGUUGUCGGUGCCGUAGGGAAGCCGUGAAGCGAGCCACCUGGGAAGUACGGCCGCAAGGCUGAAACUUAAAGGAAUUGGCGGGGGAG